This is a small nuclear RNA of Cricetulus griseus (Chinese hamster), 164 nucleotides long. Its record names the gene U1. It matches the Rfam family "U1 spliceosomal RNA". From Rfam's summary of the family: U1 is a small nuclear RNA (snRNA) component of the spliceosome (involved in pre-mRNA splicing). Its 5' end forms complementary base pairs with the 5' splice junction, thus defining the 5' donor site of an intron. Lineage: Eukaryota; Metazoa; Chordata; Mammalia; Rodentia; Cricetidae. The record is from Ensembl.
CUACUUACCUAGCAGGGGAGAUACCACAAUCACAAAGGUGGUUUUCCCAGGACAAGGCUUAGCCAUUGCAUUCUGGAUGUGUUGAUCCCUGUGAUUUUCAAAAAGGUGGGAAAUUCAACUACAUGAUUUUUUGUAGUGGGGGAUUGUGUUCUAACUCUCCCCUA